UUCGUAGGCGGUGUGGCAAGUCGGGAGUGAAAUCUAUGGGCUUAACCCAUAGGCUGCUUCCGAAACUGUUGUGCUUGAGUGUGGGAGAGGCGCGUGGAAUUGCAGGUGUAGCGGUGAAAUGCGUAGAUAUCUGCAGGAACACCCGUGGCGAAAGCGGCGCGCUGGACCACAACUGACGCUGAGGAACGAAAGCUAGGGGAGCAAACAGGAUUAGAUACCCUGGUAGUCCUAGCCCUAAACGAUCAGGACUUGGGGUGCCGCCCGUUCGGGCGUCGUCCCGGAGCUAACGCGUUAAGUCCUGCACCUGGGGAGUACGGUCGCAAGACUGAA
RNAcentral lists this ribosomal RNA (330 nucleotides) under uncultured bacterium. RNAcentral describes it as "bacterial SSU rRNA". It matches the Rfam family "Bacterial small subunit ribosomal RNA", at positions 568 to 898 of the family's 1533-position model. The record is from RNAcentral.